UCCGGCAAGUCGCGACAAUGGACACUACUCCACUCUCUGUAACAAACUCCACGUGGCCCUGAACGGCUCACUACCAGGCAGUUACGGACAUCGCUGUCAAUCGGUUACGCUCUUCUGUCUAUAAAAGGGACCCCCCAGAUACGUUCUCUUGGGAGGCUCUAAGCACUAUCUCUAAACUUUGCUAAAAUCUCAUUCAAGUACUCCAUUUCUGUUAAAGCAGAGUACUGAC
This 229-nucleotide long non-coding RNA is filed under the name Elaeis guineensis (African oil palm). Its description in RNAcentral is "long non-coding RNA (EGUI_LNC001069)". The record is from RNAcentral. Lineage: Eukaryota; Viridiplantae; Streptophyta; Magnoliopsida; Arecales; Arecaceae.